This 119-nucleotide ribosomal RNA is filed under the name Pteropus alecto (black flying fox). The record is from RNAcentral. Lineage: Eukaryota; Metazoa; Chordata; Mammalia; Chiroptera; Pteropodidae.
GUCAAUGGCCAUGCCACCCUGAAGGUGCCCAAUCUUGUCUGAUCUUGGAAGCUAAGCAGGGUCGAGCCUGGCUAGUACUUGGAUGGGAGACCACCUAGAAAGACCAGGUGCUAUAGGUG